This 1069-nucleotide ribosomal RNA is filed under the name Pseudoterranova decipiens (codworm). RNAcentral describes it as "LSU rRNA". It matches the Rfam family "Eukaryotic large subunit ribosomal RNA", at positions 69 to 944 of the family's 3401-position model. The record is from RNAcentral. Lineage: Eukaryota; Metazoa; Nematoda; Chromadorea; Rhabditida; Anisakidae.
CGAGGAUUCCCAUAGUAACGGCGAGUGAAAGGGGAAGAGCCCAGCGCUGAAUCCAUCGAUCACUGGUCGCUUGGAAUUGUAGCGUAUAGGUGCGGCUAUCCGCUCGUUUCGUGCACCCAAAGUCCCCUUGAGCGGGGCCAUAGUCCAAAGAAGGUGCUAGACCUGUACGGGUGGCGAGGCGGUCGGUUGGUCGCUCCUUGGAGUCGGGUUGCCUGGGAUCGCAGCCCAAAGUUGGUGGUAGACCUCAUCUAAGGCUAAAUAUGGCCACGAAACCGAUAGCAAACAAGUACCGUGAGGGAAAGUUGCAAAGAACUUUGAAGAGAGAGUUCAAGAGGGCGUGAAACCGCCGAGAUUGAAACGGAUAGAGUUGACGAAACUCGAUCGCAUUCAUCCGAUCCGCCUAGCGGUUCGGCGGUUGUUGACUUCCUCGAUGAGGGCAACGCCGUCGCUGGCUGUUGGGUGUUAGAUUGGUGUAUUUGCGGUCGGUAUGCGCCGAGAGCUUUGCGAGCGCAUGUUGACGUUGAUGUAGUGGACCACUCCCUCCGGGCGUGGAACCCUGCAUUGAUUGAGGCAUGUCGUUCGUAGGGUGUUGCUGGGUGACGUCUCCGCUAUGGUGGGUCGGCUUUGUUGGGCUGUUGCGGUUGCUGGGUGAUCGCAUGCGAGCGCCUGCAGCUUGCGAUGGUACGAUGAGGUGCGGACGCGCUUGAGACGUGCAUCUCGGUGUGAACGUUGACCACCUAUCCGACCCGUCUUGAAACACGGACCAAGGAGUCUAGCAUAUGCGCGAGUCAUUGGGUGGUAAACCUAAAGGCGUAAUGAAAGUAAAGGUCGUCUUGUUACGGCUGAUAUGGGAUCUGUGMGGUUUUCGAGCCACGCAGCGCACCAUAGCCCCGUCCCGGUUGCUUGCAAUGGGGCGGAGGUAGAGCGCAUACGCUGGGACCCGAAAGAUGGUGAACUAUGCCUGAGCAGGAUGAAGCCAGAGGAAACUCUGGUGGAAGUCCGAAGCGGUUCUGACGUGCAAAUCGAUCGUCUGACUUGGGUAUAGGGGCGAAAGACUAAUCGAACCAUC